AGUGAACGCUGGCGGCAGGCCUAACACAUGCAAGUCGAACGGCGGGGCGGACGGGUGAGGAAUACAUCGGAAUCUACUCUGUCGUGGGGUAUAACGUAGGGAAACUUACGCUAAUACCGCAUACUAUCAGAUGAGCCUAGGUCGGAUUAGCUAGUUGGUGGGGUAAAGGCCUACCAAGGCGACGAUCCGUGACUGGUCUGAGAGGAUGAUCAGUAACACUGGAACUGAGACACGGUCCAGACUCCUACGGGAGGCAGCAGUGGGGAAUAUUGGACAAUGGGCGAAAGCCUGAGCCAGCCAUGCCGCGUGUGUGAAGAAGGUCUUCGGAUUGUAAAGUACUUUCAGCGGGGAGGCGUUACCCGCAGAAGAAGCACCGGCUAACUCCGUGCCAGCAGCCGCGGUAAUUC
RNAcentral lists this ribosomal RNA (407 nucleotides) under uncultured bacterium. RNAcentral's name for it is "partial 16S ribosomal RNA". It matches the Rfam family "Bacterial small subunit ribosomal RNA", at positions 29 to 526 of the family's 1533-position model. The record is from RNAcentral.